RNAcentral lists this ribosomal RNA (485 nucleotides) under Salmonella enterica subsp. enterica serovar London. RNAcentral describes it as "partial 23S ribosomal RNA". It matches the Rfam family "Bacterial large subunit ribosomal RNA", at positions 2438 to 2925 of the family's 2925-position model. The record is from RNAcentral. Lineage: Bacteria; Pseudomonadati; Pseudomonadota; Gammaproteobacteria; Enterobacterales; Enterobacteriaceae.
GGGGCCAUCGCUCAACGGAUAAAAGCUACCCCGGGGAUAACAGGCUUAUCUCCCCCAAGAGUUCACAUCGACGGGGAGGUUUGGCACCUCGAUGUCGGCUCAUCGCAUCCUGGGGCUGUAGUCGGUCCCAAGGGUUGGGCUGUUCGCCCAUUAAAGCGGUACGCGAGCUGGGUUCAGAACGUCGUGAGACAGUUCGGUCCCUAUCCGUCGUGGGCGUAGGAAAUUUGAGAGGAGCUGUCCUUAGUACGAGAGGACCGGGAUGGACAUACCUCUGGUGUACCAGUUGUCGUGCCAACGGCAUAGCUGGGUAGCUAUGUGUGGACGGGAUAAGUGCUGAAAGCAUCUAAGCAUGAAGCCCCCCUCAAGAUGAGAUUUCCCAACUUCGGUUAUAAGAUCCCUCAAAGAUGAUGAGGUUAAUAGGUUCGAGGUGGAAGCAUGGUGACAUGUGGAGCUGACGAAUACUAAUCGAUCGAAGACUUAAUCAA